This 335-nucleotide unclassified non-coding RNA is filed under the name soil metagenome. RNAcentral describes it as "partial contains 5.8S ribosomal RNA, internal transcribed spacer 2, and large subunit ribosomal RNA". The stretch from base 1 to 120 matches the Rfam family "5.8S ribosomal RNA", at positions 35 to 154 of the family's 154-position model. The record is from RNAcentral.
GAUGAAGAACGUAGCGAAAUGCGAUAAGUAAUGUGAAUUGCAGAAUUCCGUGAAUCAUCGAAUCUUUGAACGCACAUUGCGCCCCCUGGUAUUCCGGGGGGCAUGCCUGUCCGAGCGUCAUUGCAACCUUCAAGCGCGGCUUGUGUGUUGGGUCUCGUCCCCCGUGGACGGGCCCGAAAGGCAGUGGCGGCGUCCCGACAUGGUGCCCGAGCGUAUGGGAAUCCUCUUCCGCUCGAAUCGGCCCAUGCGGCGCUGGUCGUAACCAAAUUUUUUACCGGUUGACCUCGGAUCAGGUAGGGAUACCCGCUGAACUUAAGCAUAUCAUAAGCGGAGGA